This is a long non-coding RNA of Oncorhynchus tshawytscha (Chinook salmon), 1738 nucleotides long. The record is from Ensembl. NCBI's taxonomy places the organism in Eukaryota, Metazoa, Chordata, Actinopteri, Salmoniformes, Salmonidae.
CAAACGCGAUUCAAACUCAACAAAGACAAACACUACCAGGAUGAAAAGAAUAUGGUGUGUGAGAGAGGGUGGACUCAGUUGGCCUACCUCCCAAAUUUGCUGUACUGGUGUUAGAAAUGGGAUUGCGCUGCUGGGAGACUGUUGAAAGUGUGUCACAUCGGGAUUGAAAAACCCCUGACGGUAGUGUGCAAUUUCGGGCCGGGCCCAAUGUAGGCGGAGUCAAACGCGUUUAACCCGAACGCUUCCCGUCUCCUUCAACGUCACCCAAAUUGAGGCACAACGUCAACGAAAGCAAACCUUAAUUGAGCCUAGCCAACAUGGAUAAAAAUAUAGACCAUGAAAUACGCUCUGUACAUUGCAAUGGAAGCACAGUGUGAUUUCACUGAGGAAAACAUUAGGCGGCGGUGGUGCCUAGUUCUCCUGCAGAACUUUCCCAUGCUGUCUGAAGAAGAGAGGUUGAAAGAUCGAAAAAGGUGGCGAAAACAAAACACACUACAGGGAGGUGUGGUAUGAUGAGUGGUAUAGUCUUAAACCAAUGUUUAAAGACUUAAACUGCCCCCCUAUUAGCUAAAUUAAGGUGCAUUAUUGUACACACAUCCCUAGAGUUUCCCUUGCAUUACUUAAUGACCACAAUCAGUUUUCUUUUCUUUCUAGACGAUACUGAAAACAAAACACGACGAGCUGUGAACUGGAAAGCAGAUGUUCUUCUAAGGGACACCCUAGAGGCAGCGAACAUUUAAAGGCAAUGUUUCCCUCCCUAGUGUAAUUGGGAUGGACGGGGAAGACCGCAUUACAAUCCUUAAAGAACUACGGUUGUAUGAUGGCCUGGAAGAAGAGGAAAAUAUUCUCCUCAAGGAACCAUUCAUGUUCCAGAGAGAUUAUGAGAUGUUCUAUGUGGAGGCAGUUGACAACAAGAACAUUACUGUCUUUGCCUCUUUUGAGGAGCAGAAGUGAAGCCAUUUUUGAGGACUAGUCAAACCUUGUUUUUGUCUGCUGUUUCAAUUGUUAAUUGUGUUAUAUUGUUUAGUAAAGAUGACAUAGAAGUCACCCGAGUCUCUGAUCUCUGUACUGGAGCUGGUAUAACUUAAUGUACAAAGCACCUUUCAGCUAUUCAGUAUGUCUACUAUAUAGUUUAGUCUCUCCAUUCUCAUUGGGAAAGUAAAUAGCAUUAUAAAUCAGGGUAGGUAGUAACUGUAUGUGUGUAUGCUCAAUGAAAUAAUAUAAAGUUAACAUUUAUCAACACAAUUUUAACAGUACAUGACAUAAGUCUGUUCACUGCAACAAUAUCAGUAGCUUGUCUAAAGUAUAGCAUGAAGCAAAAAGUGUUACAACACAUCUAGUACCACUUUGUAUAAUUAUUUCUUACAGUUUCAAAAAUGAAAUACGUUUGUAUUCAACGCGUGCCUUGUGCAAACUUGCGUGUUUGUAUUCAGUGUGUGACUGUCAAACCUCAGCUGGACUAAAAAAGGUGGGUGGGGUCAAACGUUUGACUCCGACCACAUUGAGACCGGCCCUGAAUUGCACACUGCAGUCAGGUGUACUUGUCAGGACUUGCACUUUCCAAAGGAAGGGGCAGAGAUUUGCAAAAAUUUCUGUAUUUGAAAUACGAAUUUCAAUUCUGAGUAUUUUGUCAUUUGUAGUACACUGGGCUGAACUAAACUCAAAUGUAUUUUGUAACAAGAUACUUUAGAGAGCUGUAGGUGUAUGUGCAUUUAUACUUUCAAAAUAAAUACUUUUC